Molecule: non-coding RNA, 2236 nt
Organism: Carica papaya (papaya)
Lineage: Eukaryota; Viridiplantae; Streptophyta; Magnoliopsida; Brassicales; Caricaceae
Source: RefSeq, a predicted model, not a curated record
GCUUACCCGCUUGCUCCUUCACUCGUCCGCAAUUCAAAGAAAAAGAUCAGUCGAUUUGAUCGGAGAUGGGCGGGCCACCCUAUGAUUGCCUUGCCAACCCACUGGGAGCCGUCCGAUUCACGUUCGAGAAGUCGGUAUCGUCGGGCUCCGACCCGGCGUCCUUCGACGGUAAGGACUGGGGCGCCCUCGACCUCUUCCGCCAUAUCCUCUCUGAUCCAGCCGCUCUCGCCCAGGUUCCGAUUCUCAAUCCUUCGACAAUCAGAUGGUUGCGGCCCAAUAUUCUUGUCCGUUUUCAGGGAAUGAUUCAAGACAUGCUGGGAAAUGAGUUCUAUGUUGGUGCUUGCAAGGAUGGAUCGGUGUGGAGAACCAAUAAAUACACAGACUUUUGCCAAUUUCCCAUGGGUUCUUCCCCGGAUAUGCGAAUUUGGGAACGCCGACUACUCUACUGCGUCCCGGUGCCAGGACGAAAUUCAUGGACUGAAUCUUUUUCUGAAGUGGCAAUGAAACGGUUUAUGGAUUGGGCAUCUCAACAGAGGGAGAAGCGCAGAAGAAUGGAAGAUGAAGAUCCCAAUCACAUGGAUUUACAAGUCACAGAUGAUGACUACAAAAGUUCCCCUACUGCAAAGAAGAUGAGAGAGGAUGGCGAUCCUUCCUCAUCUUCACACUCACAGAACUCCAUGAUUGUUGAUGCUCCAUCUGGUUUGCAUACUCUUGCAGAUGCUGAUAGAAAUUUUCUUCCUUGUUUGGUGAAAGUAUAUGAUACGCCAGAGUCUGACUUAAAGCUGAAUGAUGUUCUUGAGUUUGUUGGGAUCUUAACGUUUGAUUCAGACCUGCCAGUAGAUGAGUAUGACAAUGAUGAAUCCUCUGGUGGUCUAGGUGAAGAAGAGUUGGUUCGUUUGCCUCCUAGCAAGGUCCCACGCCUUCAUUGUCUCUUUAGCAGAAAGCUUGAACUUCAUGAUUUUCUCACCGGUUCCCCCAAGGAGCUGAAGCCCCAUCUAAUCAAAGAAAUAAGGGAAGCUCUGCUCAUGCAUCUUACAACUAUUCUUGGAAAUGACAGUGUUGCUGCUCAUUUUAUGUUGUUGCAUCUUCUCUCCAGGAUUCAUGCCAGGGCAGAUGGUAUUGCUGUUGGGAAGCUUUCACUUAAUCUUACUCAUCUAAGCAAGGAGGGUAUGUCUAUAUUUGGCACUAGACUUAGCCACUUCGUCAAGAAUCUCCUGCCAUUCACGCAUUGCAUACCCCUUACACUAGAGUAUCUUAACAGUGCCUCACUUGCUCCCAAAAAGGAUUAUGAAUUAAACAGACUAAUACCAGGAACACUACAGCUAGCUGAGGGCUCACAUGUGAUAUUUGAUGAAACCCAGCUGCAAGCAGGGACUCUCAACUCUGUUGGGGUUGAGAAUGCUAGGUUGUUGAAAAAUCUAAUGGAGUAUCAGAAGGUCGAGUAUGACUUCAAGUAUUAUAAAAUGGAAAUGACAACCAAUGUCCUGUUGCUCAUCUUUUCUGAGGGGAAAUCAAACAUCAUGCCAGCUGAUUUAGUUAUACCUUUCCAAUCUUCUAGAGCGGAUUCCUUUGGGGUUCCUGGUGCAGAAGCACUGGAAGCUUGGAGAUGGUACUUAACUACAGUUAGAUCACUGCCGCACUCCAUUGAAUCAGAGAUGCAGAAGGUGGUAGAAAGUGACUUGGUUGCUGCAAGACAAGCAGAUCGUAGCUUAGGCAGCCAAGAUUUUAGCAGAUGGUUGACAAUGGCACGCCUAAUGUCAUUGAGUUUUGGAGAAAGCAGUCUUUCGUUGGAGCAUUGGCAAAUGGUUAUGGAAUUGGACAGAUUGAGAAGGGACAGACUAAAGUGAAAUAUGCAGGUUUUUUGUAAGCUGAAAACAUAGAGAUAGUCUUCAUCGAAGCAUGAUACCGUAUGAAGAAUAUAUAGAAGAUUCAAAAAUCUCAUCCAAAUCAAGCCUAGGUGCAAUUACCUAAUUAGGUGCAAUAUCAUAAGAGGGAGGGGGAAAUGGUGGAGAGGUUCGUAAGCUGGAGGUAAACCUCUCAAGUGAUGCUUGUCAAGAAACUCAUAAAAGUUGUGAAAGGAAGUGGCAAACCACAAUAAUCAAGUUUUUAACAAUGGGGUUUUGUGAUUAGUUCUUAAUCAUCAACCUAAUCAUACACACAUGAGCAGUAGUAUCUGCACAGACUUGGAUGGAUGAUUUAGGGGGGUCCAACAAAAACUUCUAUAAAUAUAUAAUCA